This 617-nucleotide ribosomal RNA is filed under the name Claudopus sp. SAAS369. RNAcentral's name for it is "partial small subunit ribosomal RNA". It matches the Rfam family "Bacterial small subunit ribosomal RNA", at positions 362 to 947 of the family's 1533-position model. The record is from RNAcentral. Lineage: Eukaryota; Fungi; Basidiomycota; Agaricomycetes; Agaricales; Entolomataceae.
UAUUAGUCAAUGCUCGCAAGAGUGAACUAGCUAACUGAAAUCACAGAAUCCACUACGUGUGGUGACUGUUAUAACGUAAGGGAAAAAAAUGAUGUUACCUUACUAUUAGUGUUGUCCAAAACUGGUGCCAGAAGACUCGGUAAGGCCAGAGACGCAAACGUUAGUCGUCCUAAUCAGGCGUAAAGGGUAUGUAGGCUGCUUUAAAAGUUUUAUAUUUAAUAGCUCUCUAUAAAAAAAUAAUAUUUUGAGACCGUAAGGUAAAAAAAAUAAAUUUUAAUAGAGUAAAAUAUCAAAUGAAUUAAAGCUAGAAUCAAAUUGAGGAUAAGUCAAAUAAUGCUUAGUGUAGGGUUUAAAUCUGGUGAUACUAGGAGGAGUACUAACGGUGAAAGCUUUUUAUCUAGAAAUGAUUGACGCUGAGAAACGAAGGUGAGAAUAGGAAAUAGGAUUAGAUACCCAGAUACCUCUCACAGUCAACGAUGAAUGGUGGUUGUUAGUUAGUUUUAUUUAACUGAUAACGAUGUUAACACGAUAACCAUUCCGCCUUGCGAGUACGGUUGCAAAACUGAAACCAAAAAAAUUAGUCGGUCUCGAAGCAAACGAAGUGAAGCAUGUUAUUU